This 199-nucleotide long non-coding RNA is filed under the name Elaeis guineensis (African oil palm). RNAcentral describes it as "long non-coding RNA (EGUI_LNC000407)". Lineage: Eukaryota; Viridiplantae; Streptophyta; Magnoliopsida; Arecales; Arecaceae. The record is from RNAcentral.
AAUACUAAUGGUCAUUACUUUGAGUGGCUACUGUACCGCAUCUAAGUCCGUACCGAUUGCUUCGGUACACUCUCGUGUUGGGUCCAUGCUAGCGCAACAAAGAUGAUGAGAGAGAGAGAAUGGACGAGAGGCAAAGAGAUGAAAAGAGAAAAUGGGAGGGAGAGAGAGACUAAAAGAGAGAAAAGAAGAGGGAGGAGGG